Molecule: ribosomal RNA, 253 nt
Filed under: uncultured bacterium
Lineage: Bacteria
Description: partial 16S ribosomal RNA
Rfam family: Bacterial small subunit ribosomal RNA
Source: RNAcentral
UACGAAGGGUGCAAGCGUUAAUCGGAAUUACUGGGCGUAAAGCGUGCGUAGACGGUUAUUUAAGUCAGGUGUGAAAGCCCCGGGCUCAACCUGGGAAUUGCAUUUGAGACUGAAUAGCUAGGGUGCGGAAGAGGGAAGCGGAAUUUCCGGUGUAGCGGUGAAAUGCGUAGAUAUCGGAAGGAACACCAGUGGCGAAAGCGGCUUCCUGGUCCAGCACCGACGUUCAGGCACGAAAGCGUGGGGAGCAAACAGG